Limulus polyphemus (Atlantic horseshoe crab) is the source of this 851-nucleotide long non-coding RNA. RefSeq lists it as uncharacterized. The record is from RefSeq and is a predicted model, not a curated record. Lineage: Eukaryota; Metazoa; Arthropoda; Merostomata; Xiphosura; Limulidae. The transcript is spliced from 2 exons.
UCGAGUUGACUGUAUUGUAUUUGUGGGAUGGUUCGAUUGAAAUUGAGAUAUUAAAGUUCCGAAGAAUUUGGUUUUCUUUCAAAUUUGGUAUUUACGUAAUUUAGCAAUUGCAUCAAGUAGGAACUUUUCCAGAGUGCAUAUAACAAUAGGUGAUCAAAAUCUUUGUUUGAUUUUAAUAAGGAAUAUUCUUAGCAGUUCCCAGAUAACUAAGAUUAUACCAGAGGAAGAUUCUGCAGUAGAAUUAAGGUUAAUGAAAGGAAUUAACACUUGCAAACUUAACAUUAAGAUUAUUCCUUCAGAAAGUCUCUGGGAAGAACGAUUGUCUUUGAUGAUUCGACUUGCUAAUGAAAUCAGUGAAACCAGCAAAUGUUUGACACAGUUGAAAGAUAAAAAUCAGAACUCCAGUGGUUCUGUAAAUUUUCAAAUGCCUGUCUUGCCUUGUCAUGUUAAAAGUAAAAAUGAAAGCUCCAGCAAGGGAUUUGUACGUAAAAAAAAACUGAGUGUGAUCAAUCCCUCAAGUAAGAAGGUGAAGUCAGCCUGUGGAGCAAAGUUUGAAUAAGUGCAGGGUGUGUGUAUAUAUAUACACACAUUUCAAUCAAAUAAGUAACACACACACACACAUGUGUAUAUAUAUAUAUAUAUAUGCAGCCUUUAUUUAUUUACUUUUUUGCACAUUUUAAUUUAGUCAUUUAAGGGGGGGAAAAUAAGUGCAUGAAAUUUAGUUUUUUUGUAUAAGUAUAUGCCACUUUAAUUACAAAUUAUAAAUAUUUGUAGCCAACUCUUUAUAUAUAUUGUGAUAGUUGUUGGGCUGUUAUUUAAACACUUGCAGAUAAAAGAAAAGUAUUAACACU